This 301-nucleotide ribosomal RNA is filed under the name uncultured bacterium. RNAcentral's name for it is "partial 16S ribosomal RNA". It matches the Rfam family "Bacterial small subunit ribosomal RNA", at positions 509 to 807 of the family's 1533-position model. The record is from RNAcentral.
CAGCCGCCGCGGUAAUGCGAAGGGUGCAAGCGUUAAUCGGAAUUACUGGGCGUAAAGCGUGCGUAGGCGGUGAGUUAAGUCUGCUGUGAAAUCCCCGGGCUCAACCUGGGAAUGGCAGUGGAUACUGGCUCGCUAGAGUGUGUCAGAGGAUGGUGGAAUUCCCGGUGUAGCGGUGAAAUGCGUAGAGAUCGGGAGGAACAUCAGUGGCGAAGGCGGCCAUCUGGGACAACACCGACGCUGAGGCACGAAAGCGUGGGGAGCAAACAGGAUUAGAUACCCCGGUAGUCCCUGUCUCUUAUAC